UCUGCCCUGGCAGUCAUGCUAACAUUGUUGUUGGUUUAGUGUUCACAUUAGUUUCUCUGAUAGUUAAGAGAACACGGUAUUACAGUGAGUUUCCCUUACAGAUUUAGAAAAAGUAAACUGUUCUUAAUUGUUCUUUUUCCAGCCUCGCUGCUAAUGGCGAUGUGGAAGGGUUGUAUGCCUGGUAUCUAGCUGGUGUAAACCUGGAACAAACUGGGUAUGAUGGCAGAACUCCCUUACAAAUAGCAGAGGCUACAGGGCAUGUGGAGUUCCUAGACUUUCUUAAUCAACUGAAGAUAAAGCAGGUAAUGGAAAAUGAACAUUCCUGGAAAAAAGCCAAUUUUGAACAAUUAAACAAUACUGGGCAAUAAUUUAAAAAAAGAAUUAAAAAAGGAAGGUGGAGAUGAUCACAAUUGCUACUAGAGUAUAUUGGGAACCUAGAAUUAAUUUAGAAAUAUAUUUACUUUUUUCUUAUCUUUUAAGAUUAUUUUCUUAUGGCUGAUAUUUUAAAUUUAUUUUAAAAAAUGAAAACCUGUUACACUAGCAUGUCACAUCUCAGUUUAGGUCCUUUUUCAGUGCCAAGUGUCUGAGCAUAUAGCUGUAAUCAAAUGAGACUGGAAUGUCAUGAGAUAGUGUCUCUUACUGUAUAAAUAUUUUAU
This 656-nucleotide long non-coding RNA is filed under the name Gopherus agassizii (Agassiz's desert tortoise). RNAcentral describes it as "lncRNA (ENSGAGG00000014572.1)". The record is from RNAcentral. Lineage: Eukaryota; Metazoa; Chordata; Testudines; Testudinidae.